CCUACGGGUGGCUGCAGUGAGGAAUAUUGGUCAAUGGACGAGAGUCUGAACCAGCCAAGUAGCGUGAAGGAUGACUGCCCUAUGGGUUGUAAACUUCUUUUAUAUGGGAAUAAAACAGGGUAUGCAUACCCUCUUGUAUGUACCAUAUGAAUAAGGAUCGGCUAACUCCGUGCCAGCAGCCGCGGUAAUACGGAGGAUCCGAGCGUUAUCCGGAUUUAUUGGGUUUAAAGGGAGCGUAGGUGGAUUGUUAAGUCAGUUGUGAAAGUUUGCGGCUCAACCGUAAAAUUGCAGUUGAAACUGGCAGUCUUGAGUACAGUAGAGGUGGGCGGAAUUCGUGGUGUAGCGGUGAAAUGCUUAGAUAUGACGAAGAACCCCGAUUGCGAAGGCAGCUUGCUGCAGCGGAACUGACGCUGAUGCUCGAAAGCGCGGGUAUCGAACAGGAUUAGAUACCCGGGUAGUC
This 460-nucleotide ribosomal RNA is filed under the name uncultured bacterium. RNAcentral's name for it is "partial 16S ribosomal RNA". It matches the Rfam family "Bacterial small subunit ribosomal RNA", at positions 338 to 795 of the family's 1533-position model. The record is from RNAcentral.